AUGAGGAUGUCAAAAAAAAAAAAAAAAAAAGAUGAGGAUGUCAUGAGUAAUACAUUUAUUCGUCAAAGAUGCAUCUACUCCGAAGUGAUCCUUGGGCCUAUCACCAGUGCCACAACUUUUAAUAAAGAAGAUCAACUUUCAAACAAAGUUGAAACAAACAAACCCUCCUGUUUGAAGUUGCUUAAUAAAAAUUCCUCUAAAUACCAAUCCCAGCAAAGAAAACAGAGAGGACAACCUGAGGGAAUGGGGAUCAUUUCUCCCUGAGCAGUGACUAAGUUGCUGAGUGUCAAAAUGAGAAGCCAAGAAAACACCAGGUGAAGAAAGAAUCCUGGUUGGUAACGCUCACAUCGAUGUGGCUAAAAAGGCAGUGUGGUCCUGAAUAUUUGGCCUUCAUUUGGAAUUUCCUUGUUUUGGUGAAUUUAAGUCCUUAGCAUUAAUGUCAUGCAGUUAUUUUUGUAUGGUUUAUUUUCUUUUUCUUUUGGUCAUUCAAUAUUCAAAACAACAUAAAACGUACAUUCUUCUUCACACGGAGAGUGAAUUCAGCACCAACUCAAGCACAUAAUUCUUCCCGGCAUGGAAGGAGAUGCGGGACAUCUGCUCACCCCAGAUCUACAAAACAAUGUGGUACACGAGGUAACUCAGGGAGGAAGACUCCUAUGAGGCUCCUCACAUCACACAUCUGAGCAGAGAGGCAAAAAUACAAGUCACAUCAGAGGUAAAGCACCUAGAAUUAGCUUAGUUGUUGUUGUUUUUUAAUCUGUUUGUUUUUUGUCUGUCCCCUUGAGAUUGAAGGCUGCAAGAGACCAGUAUGGCCUGUUCAAGCUGUCUCCCUGAGCUCAGAUAAGCCUGGCAUAUAGUGGACACUCAAUAGAUAUGUGUUAUUUGAAUCAAGUAUUUUAUCUACUUUGAAUCAUGAAAACCAUGAAAAUGAAGAAAGUAAAUGUUUCCUUCUUACUCUCACUACAAAGAAAUGGGAUUACACAGAGUGUUUUUCUCCUAAAUUCCAUGGACAAGUUCUUGCACACGGAAGGGCACGUAGUCUAUUUUCUGCGUACAUUCUGCAGGCAUCCUCCCCAGCCUGGGCCCUUUCAACAUCUCUCCCGUCACAUUCGGGAGUGAUCUCUUGGAGCAGACAGGCUUCCACACAGACCUCCCACCUGGCUCCCCCAUGCUCUCAUCUGGUGUGGCUCCAGCUCUAUUCCAGAUUCCCAAGGACAGUGGUUCUCAAGCACUAGUACACAUCAGAAUACCACCUGCAGCGUUU
RNAcentral lists this long non-coding RNA (1264 nucleotides) under Vulpes vulpes (red fox). RNAcentral's name for it is "lncRNA (ENSVVUG00000025887.1)". The record is from RNAcentral. Lineage: Eukaryota; Metazoa; Chordata; Mammalia; Carnivora; Canidae.